Molecule: ribosomal RNA, 284 nt
Filed under: uncultured bacterium
Lineage: Bacteria
Description: partial 16S ribosomal RNA
Rfam family: Bacterial small subunit ribosomal RNA
Source: RNAcentral
UAGGCCCUACGGGAGGUAACAGUGGGGAAUAUUGCACAAUGGGGGAAACCCUGAUGCAGCGACGCCGCGUGAGUGAAGAAGUAUUUCGGUAUGUAAAGCUCUAUCAGCAGGGAAGAAAAAAGACGGUACCUGACUAAGAAGCCCCGGCUAACUACGUGCCAGCAGCCGCGGUAAUACGUAGGGGGCAAGCGUUAUCCGGAUUUACUGGGUGUAAAGGGAGCGUAGCCGGCGCGGCAAGUCUGAAGUGAAAGGCAGGGGCUUAACCCCUGAACUGCUUUGGAAAC